AGAGUUUGAUCCUGGCUCAGGAUGAUUUCUGGCGGCGUGCCUAACACAUGCAAGUCGAACGGAGCUGCUUUGAUGAAGUUUUCGGAUGGAUUUAAAACAGCUUAGUGGCGGACGGGUGAGUAACGCGUGGGUAACCUGCCUCACACUGGGGGAUAACAGUUAGAAAUAGCUGCUAAUACCGCAUAAGCGCACGGUUCCGCAUGGAACAGUGUGAAAAACUCCGGUGGUGUGAGAUGGACCCGCGUCUGAUUAGCCAGUUGGCGGGGUAACGGCCCACCAAAGCGACGAUCAGUAGCCGGCCUGAGAGGGUGAACGGCCACAUUGGGACUGAGACACGGCCCAAACUCCUACGGGAGGCAGCAGUGGGGAAUAUUGCACAAUGGGGGAAACCCUGAUGCAGCGACGCCGCGUGAGUGAAGAAGUAUUUCGGUAUGUAAAGCUCUAUCAGCAGGGAAGAAAGUGACGGUACCUGAAUAAGAAGCCCCGGCUAACUACGUGCCAGCAGCCGCGGUAAUACGUAGGGGGCAAGCGUUAUCCGGAUUUACUGGGUGUAAAGGGAGCGUAGACGGCAAGGCAAGUCUGAAGUGAAAGCCCGGUGCUUAACGCCGGGACUGCUUUGGAAACUGUUUGGCUGGAGUGCCGGAGAGGUAAGCAGAGUUCCUAGUGUAGCGGUGAAAUGCGUAGAUAUUAGGAAGAACACCAGUGGCGAAGGCGGCUUACUGGACGGUAACUGACGUUGAGGCUCGAAAGCGUGGGGAGCAAACAGGAUUAGAUACCCUGGUAGUCCACGCCGUAAACGAUGA
RNAcentral lists this ribosomal RNA (803 nucleotides) under uncultured bacterium. RNAcentral describes it as "bacterial SSU rRNA". It matches the Rfam family "Bacterial small subunit ribosomal RNA", at positions 8 to 812 of the family's 1533-position model. The record is from RNAcentral.